RNAcentral lists this ribosomal RNA (2773 nucleotides) under Escherichia coli. RNAcentral's name for it is "bacterial LSU rRNA". It matches the Rfam family "Bacterial large subunit ribosomal RNA". Lineage: Bacteria; Pseudomonadati; Pseudomonadota; Gammaproteobacteria; Enterobacterales; Enterobacteriaceae. The record is from RNAcentral.
AGCGUACACGGUGGAUGCCCUGGCAGUCAGAGGCGAUGAAGGACGUGCUAAUCUGCGAUAAGCGUCGGUGAGGUGAUAUGAACCGUUAUAACCGGCGAUUUCCGAAUGGGGAAACCCAGUGUGUUUCGACACACUAUCAUUAACUGAAUCCAUAGGUUAAUGAGGCGAACCGGGGGAACUGAAACAUCUAAGUACCCCGAGGAAAAGAAAUCAACCGAGAUUCCCCCAGUAGCGGCGAGCGAACGGGGAGCAGCCCAGAGCCUGAAUCAGUGUGUGUGUUAGUGGAAGCGUCUGGAAAGGCGCGCGAUACAGGGUGACAGCCCCGUACACAAAAAUGCACAUGCUGUGAGCUCGAUGAGUAGGGCGGGACACGUGGUAUCCUGUCUGAAUAUGGGGGGACCAUCCUCCAAGGCUAAAUACUCCUGACUGACCGAUAGUGAACCAGUACCGUGAGGGAAAGGCGAAAAGAACCCCGGCGAGGGGAGUGAAAAAGAACCUGAAACCGUGUACGUACAAGCAGUGGGAGCCUCUUUAUGGGGUGACUGCGUACCUUUUGUAUAAUGGGUCAGCGACUUAUAUUCUGUAGCAAGGUUAACCGAAUAGGGGAGCCGAAGGGAAACCGAGUCUUAACUGGGCGUUAAGUUGCAGGGUAUAGACCCGAAACCCGGUGAUCUAGCCAUGGGCAGGUUGAAGGUUGGGUAACACUAACUGGAGGACCGAACCGACUAAUGUUGAAAAAUUAGCGGAUGACUUGUGGCUGGGGGUGAAAGGCCAAUCAAACCGGGAGAUAGCUGGUUCUCCCCGAAAGCUAUUUAGGUAGCGCCUCGUGAAUUCAUCUCCGGGGGUAGAGCACUGUUUCGGCAAGGGGGUCAUCCCGACUUACCAACCCGAUGCAAACUGCGAAUACCGGAGAAUGUUAUCACGGGAGACACACGGCGGGUGCUAACGUCCGUCGUGAAGAGGGAAACAACCCAGACCGCCAGCUAAGGUCCCAAAGUCAUGGUUAAGUGGGAAACGAUGUGGGAAGGCCCAGACAGCCAGGAUGUUGGCUUAGAAGCAGCCAUCAUUUAAAGAAAGCGUAAUAGCUCACUGGUCGAGUCGGCCUGCGCGGAAGAUGUAACGGGGCUAAACCAUGCACCGAAGCUGCGGCAGCGACACUAUGUGUUGUUGGGUAGGGGAGCGUUCUGUAAGCCUGUGAAGGUGUACUGUGAGGUAUGCUGGAGGUAUCAGAAGUGCGAAUGCUGACAUAAGUAACGAUAAAGCGGGUGAAAAGCCCGCUCGCCGGAAGACCAAGGGUUCCUGUCCAACGUUAAUCGGGGCAGGGUGAGUCGACCCCUAAGGCGAGGCCGAAAGGCGUAGUCGAUGGGAAACAGGUUAAUAUUCCUGUACUUGGUGUUACUGCGAAGGGGGGACGGAGAAGGCUAUGUUGGCCGGGCGACGGUUGUCCCGGUUUAAGCGUGUAGGCUGGUUUUCCAGGCAAAUCCGGAAAAUCAAGGCUGAGGCGUGAUGACGAGGCACUACGGUGCUGAAGCAACAAAUGCCCUGCUUCCAGGAAAAGCCUCUAAGCAUCAGGUAACAUCAAAUCGUACCCCAAACCGACACAGGUGGUCAGGUAGAGAAUACCAAGGCGCUUGAGAGAACUCGGGUGAAGGAACUAGGCAAAAUGGUGCCGUAACUUCGGGAGAAGGCACGCUGAUAUGUAGGUGAAGCGACUUGCUCGUGGAGCUGAAAUCAGUCGAAGAUACCAGCUGGCUGCAACUGUUUAUUAAAAACACAGCACUGUGCAAACACGAAAGUGGACGUAUACGGUGUGACGCCUGCCCGGUGCCGGAAGGUUAAUUGAUGGGGUUAGCGGUAACGCGAAGCUCUUGAUCGAAGCCCCGGUAAACGGCGGCCGUAACUAUAACGGUCCUAAGGUAGCGAAAUUCCUUGUCGGGUAAGUUCCGACCUGCACGAAUGGCGUAAUGAUGGCCAGGCUGUCUCCACCCGAGACUCAGUGAAAUUGAACUCGCUGUGAAGAUGCAGUGUACCCGCGGCAAGACGGAAAGACCCCGUGAACCUUUACUAUAGCUUGACACUGAACAUUGAGCCUUGAUGUGUAGGAUAGGUGGGAGGCUUUGAAGUGUGGACGCCAGUCUGCAUGGAGCCGGCCUUGAAAUACCACCCUUUAAUGUUUGAUGUUCUAACGUUGGCCCCUGAUCGGGGUUGCGGACAGUGUCUGGUGGGUAGUUUGACUGGGGCGGUCUCCUCCUAAAGAGUAACGGAGGAGCACGAAGGUUGGCUAAUCCUGGUCGGACAUCAGGAGGUUAGUGCAAUGGCAUAAGCCAGCUUGACUGCGAGCGUGACGGCGCGAGCAGGUGCGAAAGCAGGUCAUAGUGAUCCGGUGGUUCUGAAUGGAAGGGCCAUCGCUCAACGGAUAAAAGGUACUCCGGGGAUAACAGGCUGAUACCGCCCAAGAGUUCAUAUCGACGGCGGUGUUUGGCACCUCGAUGUCGGCUCAUCACAUCCUGGGGCUGAAGUAGGUCCCAAGGGUAUGGCUGUUCGCCAUUUAAAGUGGUACGCGAGCUGGGUUUAGAACGUCGUGAGACAGUUCGGUCCCUAUCUGCCGUGGGCGCUGGAGAACUGAGGGGGGCUGCUCCUAGUACGAGAGGACCGGAGUGGACGCAUCACUGGUGUUCGGGUUGUCAUGCCAAUGGCACUGCCCGGUAGCUAAAUGCGGAAGAGAUAAGUGCUGAAAGCAUCUAAGCACGAAACUUGCCCCGAGAUGAGUUCU